UGUAAAAUAAGCUAAGUAUAAGCUGUUGGGUUCAUACCCCAAAAAUGAGUGCAGACUCUUUUACAA
Molecule: transfer RNA, 66 nt
Filed under: Babylonia lutosa
Lineage: Eukaryota; Metazoa; Mollusca; Gastropoda; Neogastropoda; Buccinidae
Description: tRNA-Met
Source: RNAcentral